GAUGAACGCUAGCGGCAGGCCUAAUACAUGCAAGACGAACGGUAAGUUGAGUAGCAAUACUUAGCCAAGAGUGUCGUACGGGUGCGUAACACGUAUGCAACCUACCCUAUACAGGAGGAUAGCCUAGGGAAACCUGGAUUAACCCUUCAUAGUAUUAUUGGAUGGCAUCAUUUGAUAAUUAAAACUGAGGUGGUAUAGGAUGGGCAUGCGUCUGAUUAGUUAGUUGGCGGGGUAAUGGCCCACCAAGACGAUGAUCAGUAGGGGUUCUGAGAGGAAGAUCCCCCACACUGGCACUGAGAUACGGGCCAGACUCCUACGGGAGGCAGCAGUAGGGAAUAUUGGUCAAUGGAUGCAAGUCUGAACCAGCCAUGCCGCGUGCAGGAAGAAGGCCUUCUGGGUUGUAAACUGCUUUUGCCAGGGGAUAAAAUUUCCAUGCGUGGAAAACUGAAGGUACCUGGUGAAUAAGCCACGGCUAACUACGUGCCAGCAGCCGCGGUAAUC
RNAcentral lists this ribosomal RNA (501 nucleotides) under uncultured bacterium. RNAcentral's name for it is "bacterial SSU rRNA". It matches the Rfam family "Bacterial small subunit ribosomal RNA", at positions 28 to 525 of the family's 1533-position model. The record is from RNAcentral.